AACCAUAAGAAGUAUUCUGAAUGGCCGGAGGAUGACCGCAGCCCCUCUCCUGCCCGGUUCCUGUCCGCUUUCAGAUCUCCGCGCCGACGUCACCGACGCCACAGCGCCCCCUCCAGGCAGGGAGUCGCUCCGCAGCACAGCCGGUGUUGACGUGGAUGUCACUGCAGGCACCCAGGGUAUCCCUGUAGCAACUGAAAAUACCGUUUCCAGAAACAUCCGUCUUUCACACUCACUUCCGUGGACUCCCCCCAGCUCAUCUGAUCAUCUCAUCUCCAGCUUUCUUUUCUCCCUCCACUCGUGUGUGCCAGGUCCCAGGCACAAGACAAAAGGCGUGACUCACAGCACAGCGGGCGUCCGUGGCCAGGGAAGUGGCCCUUGUGAAGAUUGCUUCCCUAAUGCCUGAGAAUCGUUCCUCCGAGAUCUGUGGGAAGCUGAUAAUGGGUAUUACACUGAGUAUCACCAGUAGAAAUCUGGGUUUGAUCAAGAGCAUUUCCUUAAGCUAAAAAUGUCAUGUUUCCAGAGCUUGAUAUUUUAGUAGAUCAUGGUAAAAAAAAAAAAAAAAAAAAAGGAAAACUUGGAAAGACAAUAUGAAUGACUGUCACCCUUGAAUUUGUGUUGUCAUUUGAGUCCACUGGCUGAUUAUCCCGAUGGGUGUGGCUUGAGUCCUCUCACAAGCUCUGGGUUUUAGGGGUCCAACUUCCUUGCCUACAGGGUCACUGGCUGGGGGUCUUCCUCUAUGGGCAGGUGGUGAUGGGCCCAAAAGCUUGUUUAAAAGCCCACCCCCAGGGACCCCAGGUGGGGUUUGGAGUCUGCAUUUUUUACAAGCUCUGCAGGUGAUUCUGAGGAGGUGAUCUUCAGACUAAGUGUGGAGGAACACUGAUAACAUCUAGUUAACUGUUCAUAUUUAAAAAGAAGUUUGAGGCAGGGAAUGCAGCCCAAAUCCCACACUAGAGUGCCGGUUCCGCUCCUGAUUCCAGCUUCCGACUAAUGCAGAACCUGAGAGACAGCAGUGAUGACUCCAGUAGCUGGGUCUCUGCCACUGACAUAGGAGACCUGAAUUCAGUUUGCAGCUCCUAGUUUCUACCCAGGUGACCCUUUGGGAGUGAAAGAACCAAUGGAAGCCUGCUUGCAUUCUCUCUCUCUCUCUCUCUCUCUCUCUCUCUCUCUCUCUGCCUUUAUGCAAGUCAAAUAUAAUAAAUAAACUAACAAAUAAAAAGUCAUAUGAGUAGCACACAAAAUGAGUGUUGGUGAGCUUGCUAGCAGGGAUAGAGAAUAGGAUGACUGCUGAGGAUAACAGUAUGGCAGUUCCUCAAAAAGCUACAUAUAAAAUCACCGUAUUAUGCAGGAACCCCACUUCUGGGAAUAUAGCAGCAGAGCUGAACGCAGGGUCCUGAAGAGACAUUUGCACAGUUGUGUUCGCAGCAGCCUCAUUCACAACAGCCAAGAGGUGGAAGCAGGCAAGUGUCCACUGGCAGAUGAAUGCAUUAGCAACAUGUGACUUGUCUAUCCAAUGGACUAUGAUGCAGCUUUCCAAGUGAAGAAAAUGCUGACACAUACUAUAUUAUGGAUGGAUCUUGAGGACAUUAUGCCAAGUGAAAUAAGCUAGACACUCAGGGACCAAUGCUUCCACCUCCAUAUGGUCCCCAGGGUAGUCAGUAUCAUAAGGACAAAGCAGGCUGUCAGGGACUGGGGAGGAAAUGAGGAGUUGGUGUUUGAUGGGCGGGUGAACCAAGUUCUGUGAAUGGAUGGUAGUGAAGGUUGUACAGUGUGAGUGCCCCGAGUACCACUGACCUGGUCACCUACAGAGAAUUGAGAUGGUAAACCGGGACUGGGGUAAGCCACUGCUUCAGCAUCCCAUAGCAGAGUGCUGAUUCGCGUCUCAGCUGUUCCACUACUGAUCCGGCUUCCUGCUAAUGGCCCUGGGGAGGCAGGGGAAGAUGGCUCAACCGUUUGGGCCCCUACCACCCAUGUGAGAGCAGGAUGGAUUUCUUGGCUCCUGAGUUCACCCUGGACAAUGCCUGGCCAUUGCAGCCAUCUGGGGAGUGACCCAGUAGAUGGAAGAUUCUCUCUCUGUUUCUGCCCCCUUCCCCCGCCAGUCUGCCUUUCAAAAAAAUAAAUCUUUUUCUUCUUUUUUUAAUUUAAAUAAAUAGAAAAGAUUUCAUAUAAACCAUUUUAAGCCCAUAACAAUACUUCCCUCUCUCCCUCCUCCUUCCUGUCUUUCUUUUUUUCAUUUUCAUUUUUGCGAUAACAUGCUUUCAAUUCACUUUAUAGUCAUAGGCUUAACCCUCCACUAAAUAAAGAAUCCAACAAGUAGAAAAUAUAAAGAUGACUAUCCCACAGGAAUAUAGACAAGGGAUAUAAAGAACAAUCAAAUAUCAAGAUGUCAAUUUCACUCAUAUAUAUCACUUUUUUGUACUCUAUAGAUUAACUACAAAUAAAAGAAAACAUAUAUUAUUUGUCUUUUGGGAUCUAGCCUUUGUCACUAAGCAUAGUGGUCUCUAGUUACAUUUAGUUUGUUACGAAAGACAGAAUCUCAUUCUUUUUUAUGGUUGAGUAGCAUUCCAUGGAGUAUAUGUAGUACAUUUUCUUUAUCCAGUCAUCAGUUGAUGGACAUCUGGGUUGAUUCCACAUCUUGGCUGUUGUGAAUUGAGCUGCUAUUAAAAAAAAAUGGCAAGCUGCGUUACAUCUAUUUUACCACAGUUAAAAACAAUAAUUAAAGAAAUCCAAUACCCCUUAAAGGGAAAGGACAUUACACAAAGAAUAAACUUUAGCUCUUUCUGACAUUCUAAGUCAAAAUUCACAUAAGGCAUCCAAGAUUCAUAGAGAUUAAAAAGCUUGCUCAAGGUCAGACAGCUGACACAUGGUGUAACCAGGAGCCAAAUCUAAGGCGCUCCAUGUCUGUCCAAUGGCCCCAUCUGGCUCACUUCUGUUUGGAUGUGAGUAAUAACAGGAAGCGAGUGUCAAGAGGACUCUGGGGUUUAGUGUGUGAUUCACUGAAAGACAGGGCUUUAAUUUACAAAAGUGGGAACCCAUAGGAGGAUGUUACCAAGGAGGAAGAGAGAAAAGGAAGAGGCGGGGUUUUGGAUUUGUUCCUCGGAAGGGAAGAGAAUUGGCUGUUGGGAAGGCUGGCCUGGCCUGGCACACAGGUGUUGGGCUCAUCGGUGAAAGUGGAAGCAGAUGAUGGAGUCUAGGGUCACGGAUGGCUUCCAUAGCCUUGGCAGCCCAUGGCAAGAGCCUUGGGUGAUCACUGACAUCAUAAAUAAGAGUGUCAAUUGUUAAAUGAAAACAGAAUUUGUUCCCACAUAGGACCUCUGUCCUUAAUGAGUUAUACUAUGGGGGUUGACUGCAAAACUUGUUCUCAAACUGUACUUUAUAUGUUGUGUGGGGGGUGCAAACUGUUGAAAUCUUUGCUUAGCAUAGAGUUGGUCCUCUGCAUAUAAAGGUAAACUAAAAAUGAACCAUAGUGAAGAAUGGGAUGGGAGAG
Oryctolagus cuniculus (rabbit) is the source of this 3484-nucleotide non-coding RNA. Lineage: Eukaryota; Metazoa; Chordata; Mammalia; Lagomorpha; Leporidae. The record is from RefSeq and is a predicted model, not a curated record.